Molecule: transfer RNA, 72 nt
Filed under: Dermacentor andersoni
Lineage: Eukaryota; Metazoa; Arthropoda; Arachnida; Ixodida; Ixodidae
Description: transfer RNA alanine (anticodon UGC)
Rfam family: tRNA
About the family: Transfer RNA (tRNA) molecules are approximately 80 nucleotides in length. Their secondary structure includes four short double-helical elements and three loops (D, anti-codon, and T loops).
Source: RNAcentral
GGGGGUGUAGCUCAGUGGUAGAGCGCUCGCUUUGCAUGUGAGAAGUCCCUGGUUCAAAACCCGGCACCUCCA